RNAcentral lists this long non-coding RNA (290 nucleotides) under Numida meleagris (helmeted guineafowl). RNAcentral's name for it is "lncRNA (ENSNMEG00000014325.1)". Lineage: Eukaryota; Metazoa; Chordata; Aves; Galliformes; Numididae. The record is from RNAcentral.
GAAUUAUUUUAUGUAGCCCGUGCAAAGAAUGUGGGGCAGUACUCAUAGCCAGCAUUAUCUCAGAUUACAUCUUAAAGAUGUGGCACAAGAAAUACCUGUGUGUGGCAUGCAGAGCAGUUGCUGCAAGGAGGAAGAUGAAGAUAAGAAUCUAUUUGAGAAUUCAGAGUUAUAGAAGUAAUGGUAUCCCACACAAGAUCUGCAGAUGGAGAUUCUGUCAGGUCUGCAAUCUGCUACAAAUUGAUUCUGAAAAGAAGAUGCUGGUUUCUAGUAAGCAUGUCACCAAGCAUUAG